Non-coding RNA from Cavia porcellus (domestic guinea pig), 112 nucleotides. Lineage: Eukaryota; Metazoa; Chordata; Mammalia; Rodentia; Caviidae. The record is from Rfam.
UUGCUCAUUCAACAACACAUAUACUAAAACUGGAACGAUACACAGAAGAUUAGCAUGGCCCCUGCACAAGAGUCAAAAGUAACCCUUUUGUCAAAUUAUUUGACUCAUUUUU